Molecule: non-coding RNA, 26 nt
Filed under: Cricetulus griseus (Chinese hamster)
Lineage: Eukaryota; Metazoa; Chordata; Mammalia; Rodentia; Cricetidae
Source: RNAcentral
AAUUAAACAGUAGUCGUGGUAGGAGG